UACGGAGGGGGCUAGCGUUGUUCGGAAUUACUGGGCGUAAAGCGCACGUAGGCGGCUUUGUAAGUUAGAGGUGAAAGCCCAGGGCUUAACCCUGGAAUUGCCUUUAAGACUGCAUCGCUAGAAUCGUGGAGAGGUGAGUGGAACUGCGAGCGUAGAGGUGAAAUUCGUAGAUAUUCGCAAGAACACCAGUGGCGAAGGCGGCUCACUGGCCCGAUACUGACGCUGAGGCACGAAAGCGUGGGGAGCAAACAGG
Molecule: ribosomal RNA, 253 nt
Filed under: uncultured bacterium
Lineage: Bacteria
Description: partial 16S ribosomal RNA
Rfam family: Bacterial small subunit ribosomal RNA
Source: RNAcentral